AUGUGUGUGUGUGUGUGUGUGUGUGUGUGUGUGUGUGUGUGUGUUCUUGACCAGCGUAUCUUUGAAAAUCAACUGUCACUGUGCUUCCUGCCUGUAAUCAUUUCCCUAGUUUCCUUUCUGACUUUUUAAAAUCGAUGGUGACCUCUGCUUAUGAGUCAUGAGUGAUCUGUUCGUGGUAGGCCCCUGAGGACCUCACUCUCCACUCCUGUUUCAGGCAUGGGGCGGCUGGUUCUGCUGCGGGGAGCUGCCGUCUUUCUGCUGGGAGGCUGGAUGGCUUUGGGGCAAGGAGGAGCAGCAGAAGGAGUACAGAUUCAGAUCAUCUACUUCAAUUUAGAAACCGUGCAGGUGACAUGGAAUGCCAGCAAAUACUCCAGGACCAACCUGACUUUCCACUACAGAUUCGACGGUGAUGAGGCCUAUGACCAGUGCACCAACUACCUUCUCCAGGAAGGUCACACUUCGGGGUGCCUCCUAGACGCAGAGCAGCGAGACGACAUUCUCUAUUUCUCCAUCAGGAAUGGGACGCACCCCGUUUUCACCGCAAGUCGCUGGAUGGUUUAUUACCGUAAGUAUUGUAAAGCCAGCUCACCAUGCUUUUCAGUACUUCCUUCAGCUUAUUACCACAAGGACUGAAAACCAAGCUCAUGCAAAUCGCCGGAUCCAUCAUUACCAUUGACUAUUCAGAAGCAAGAUCACCAUGCCUUUCAGUACUUCCUGCAGCUUAUUACUGUAAGUAACGAAAAACCAAGCUCCAGCCAGUCGCGGGAUCAAUGAUUCCCGUAACUAUUGAAAAGGAAGCUCAACAUAGUUUUCAGUACUUCCUUCAGCUUAUUACCGUAAGUACUGAAAAGCUCAUGCAAAUCGCCGGAUCCAUGAUUACCGUAAUAAUUGAAAAAGCAAGCUCUGAAUGCUUUUCAGUACGUCUUUCAGCUUGUUACCGUAAGUAAUGAAAAGCAAGCUCAUGCCAGUCGCGGGAUCCCUGAUUACCGUAACAAUUGAAAAGCAAGCUGAGCACGCUUUUUAGUACUUCCUUCAGCUUAUUACCAUAAAUACUAAAAAGCUCAUGCAAAUUACCGGAUCCACGAUUACCGCAGCUAUUGAAAAGCAAGGUCACCAUGCUUUUCAUACUUCCUUUAGCUUAUGACCAUAAGUACUGAAAAGCAAGCUCUAGCAAGUCGCAGGAUCAGUGAUUCCCGUAACUAUUGAAAGGCAGCCCAGCAUCCUUUUCACUACUUCCUUCAGCUUAUUGCCAUAAAUACAAAAGCUCAUGCAAAUAACCGGAUCCAUGAUUACCGUAACUAUUGAAAAGCAAACUCACCAUGCUUUUCAGU
This 1331-nucleotide long non-coding RNA is filed under the name Pan paniscus (pygmy chimpanzee). RNAcentral describes it as "lncRNA (ENSPPAG00000044599.1)". The record is from RNAcentral. Lineage: Eukaryota; Metazoa; Chordata; Mammalia; Primates; Hominidae.